Molecule: long non-coding RNA, 357 nt
Filed under: Panax ginseng (ginseng)
Lineage: Eukaryota; Viridiplantae; Streptophyta; Magnoliopsida; Apiales; Araliaceae
Description: long non-coding RNA (PGIN_LNC013226)
Source: RNAcentral
CUGGGAGGGGCAAAAUGGUCAUUUUGCCAACUCAACUUCACUUCAAAUCAAAUACACUCAUGUCAACUCAAAUUGAUUCAAAAUUAGUCCCACAAGACUCAUAUCUUAACUUCGGAGCGAAAAUUACGCGAAACAGCUCACCCAAGAAUGCUAUUUCGGUCAUGGACCCAUGUUCCUGGAAUCAAAAAGGGCAAAUCUCAUGUCAUUGUGUAACUCUCGACAAAAGCAGUCCGAAGAUGGUCUUGUACACCUCGUUCGGAUGCUCGGAUUGAAGUUCUGCAAGUUCGAGCGAACAUUACAUUGCACGAGUGCACGUACUUCGAGACAACGGGACCCGUGGAACCCCGGGCAGCUCGG